Heteronotia binoei (common prickly gecko) is the source of this 997-nucleotide long non-coding RNA. RefSeq lists it as uncharacterized. The transcript has 2 exons. The record is from RefSeq and is a predicted model, not a curated record. NCBI's taxonomy places the organism in Eukaryota, Metazoa, Chordata, Lepidosauria, Squamata, Gekkonidae.
ACGAACCAGCGCCGCUGAUAUCCUUUGAUGUAAUUGGUCCAUUUGAAAAGCCAGCCCUCGCGGGCCGACCCGGAAGCGGAGCUGGUCGGCACGGAAGCGGAAGAAGAGCUCCCCCCUGAAGCUCCUGUCACCCCCCCGGGGGCCGGUCCCCCAGGGCCCAACGUGCCUCCUUCUCCUCUGGUGGCAUUGCCGCCGCCGGGCCCGGGGGAGGGCAAUGGGGUCGUUGGGCCGGGCCCACAGGUGCUCCCUGGGCCGGAGGCAUUGGAGCCGGCCGCUCCACCAGGCGCUGUCCCAGAGCUGACUCCCGCGACUCGCAACUCCGACAUCGCGCAGAGCAGCAGCUCCGCCGCCCCCGCGAGUCCCAACCGACUCUGCCAACCGGAGCCCAGGAACCACCGGAGGCUGAGCGCCUCCCUCCUCCUUGGCUUCGCCCUCCUCCCCCCCCCCUCAACGGUUGCAGCCAAUUCCGUCGCUCAGAAGGGGGUUUAAUCGAACGUCGUCACGGAGCAGAGACUAUUGGUUAGCUACAAGUGACAUUUUAGCCCCGGCGAUCAUAUGUGCGCGGAGUCCAGGAAUGGGAGCCCCAAAUCUUACGUUGUAUCUCUCAGACCCGAGCCAUCUCCUGUUUAUUGGGGAGACGUACUGAUUCCCAGGCGCGCUCCCUGGAUUUCGUCCUCAAUUCACGUUCUAGUCCAAACACUGGGCAGAUUGCCCGCAACCCAAUGUUAGACACUUAAGUCUUGUUCAUGGUAGCGGGACUUGCUGCUGCUGUGGGCUUAUCCUGUGUCUGUAAAGCUUGUAACUUCUCCCCGGCGACAGCGGGCUAGUCUUUUCGGCAGCGUGUAGAGCCGCACCCAGACCUCAAUCCAGGGUUUAGGAAACGGCAGACUAUCUGUGAUUCCGAUGCUGUCGAGUCAGGGGGACCCCAGAAAACGUUUAACAGCACAACCCCAUUUCCCGCUCUUUACAAUAAAAAGCUGGUCAAAAAAAAAAAAAA